RNAcentral lists this non-coding RNA (48 nucleotides) under Schistosoma margrebowiei. The record is from RNAcentral. Lineage: Eukaryota; Metazoa; Platyhelminthes; Trematoda; Strigeidida; Schistosomatidae.
AUCCAGCUGAUGAGUCCAAAAUAGGACGAAACAUGCAUCAAACUAGAU